AAGAUCCCAUGUCACACCUCUCUUUAUCUCCCUGCAAUGGCUUCCGGUUACUGCUUGCAUCAAGUUCAAGACAUUGAUUCUUGCAUAUAGAACAGGCUCAGCACCCACCUACGUGGAUUCACUCUUACAAAUCUACAUCCCCUUCAGAAGCCUGAGAUCCGCUAGUGAGCGAUGCCUUGUGGUACCAUCACAGAGGGGCACAAAAUCACUUUCCUGAAUUUUUCUUUUUUUUUUACCGAUUCUGGCUGGGGGAAUGAUCUGCCAACCCCUAUCCGGAAUGAUGAAUCCAUGGCAUUUUUCAAGCGACAGCUGAAAACACACCUCUUUCAUCAAUAUCUAACUUCAUUCUAUAUAGGGCUGGGUAAAAAUAUUGAUUCAUCAAUGCAUUGCAAUUAUUUGUUUCUAAAUUCAAUAUCGAUUUAUUAAAUCCUAUGAAUCGAUUCAGCCUACCGGCCAGUGGUGGCUCUAUGGGCAAUACUCUAGUGAGAGUGUUCAGCGUUGUACAAGACACACUUUGCCAAAACAGCAAGAUGGCAGACUGCAUCUGCACUCCAAUCAAGCCUGCAUCACCAACGUUAAAAGCCGACGUUUGGGCUCAUUUUGGAUUCCACUGUAAGCCAGGAACAAAUGAAGAGGUGGAUAAAACCAAAGUGGUCUGUAAGCAUUGGCACACCAUUCUUAAAUAUUGUAAGAACACAACUAACUUGUGCAACCACGUAGCUCGACACCAUGCAGAUCUAAUGCAACAAAAACAAUCAAGCGUGGCUAAGCCGGAUGAUUCUAAACAGACACAACUCGACAAAGCCUUUCACUGCAAAUUUCCUUCAGGCUCCGUUCGUGCACAGAAGAUAACAGGAUCUGUGGCCAUCUACAUCUGUAAAGACUUAGGCCCAUAUAGUGUUGUUGAAAACAUGGGCUUUAAAUACAUGGUUAACACACUUGAGCCACGGUACACCAUACACACACGUAAGAAGUGGCCAUGCCAAAACUUUUACAUGGAGGUUAAGACGGAGGUUUGUGAGUCCUUAAUUUCAGCGGAAAAAGUGUCACUUACCUGCGAUGGCUGGACCUCCAGAGCGACCGACCUGUACGUAACCAUCACGUCUCAUUCUAUUUCAACUGAUUGGGUCCUUGUGUCAAACAUCCUGCAGACCAGAGCGCUCUUUCAAAGCCACACAGGGAGCAAUAUUGCUAAAUUGCUCACUGAGGCAAUGAUUGAAUGGGGCUUGAAUGGGAUGAAAGUGCCAGCAAUUGUAACGCAGCUAACAUGCUACAAGCCGUUGGACUGACAGAGACAUUGCACAUUGGCUGUUUUGCAUGUCCUAAACUUGGCAUCACAGGCUGCUCUCAAGUUGCAUGCAGUAUCAAGUCUUCUAGACAGACUUAGGCGGAUCUCCGCAUUUUUCCACCAGAGCACCGUAGCCAGCGCAUUUGACAUGGUGGAAAGAUUUUUAGAACAGCAAGCUGCUAUCUCUGCUGUACUACUUGCCCCUGAGAUAAGAAAGAAAGAAACAGAUCUGAGCUCCCUUACAGAGGCAGACAAACAGCAGCAGAGGCUGUUGCACUGGCUCUGAAGCCACUGAAGAAAGCCACCUUAGUCAUAUCUCAAGAAGGAACCCCAAGUCUCUCUGUCAUUACCCCUCUGAGAGCAAGACUUCUGGAAGAGAUGCAUCCGGUCCCGAGUGAUCCUGUGAUGGUGAAGGAGAUGAAACCUGCUGUGCAUCAGGAUCUCCAGAAAAAGUACAUAGGCUUAAAGGAACAACUCUACUUAGCUUCUGCCCUGGACCCACGCUUUAAGGUCCUGUCUUUCUUAACUGAUGAUAAGCGUGAGGAAGUCUUCACCCAACUCACUUAUAACACUAAGACACUGGCAACUGAAAAAAGCUCAAGUGGACCAAUAAAUGCAGAGGCCAAGCUGAACCAGCUGAGGACUCUGGACCCCCAUCCAAGAAGAAAAGAGACUCUUGUGCAUUGGCAGAUCUCCUUGGGCAAACAUAUACUCCAGAAGCAGAC
Carassius auratus (goldfish) is the source of this 2013-nucleotide long non-coding RNA. RefSeq lists it as uncharacterized. The record is from RefSeq and is a predicted model, not a curated record. The transcript is spliced from 3 exons. NCBI's taxonomy places the organism in Eukaryota, Metazoa, Chordata, Actinopteri, Cypriniformes, Cyprinidae.